This 499-nucleotide ribosomal RNA is filed under the name uncultured bacterium. RNAcentral's name for it is "partial 16S ribosomal RNA". It matches the Rfam family "Bacterial small subunit ribosomal RNA", at positions 28 to 507 of the family's 1533-position model. The record is from RNAcentral.
GACGAACGCUGGCGGCGCGCCUAAUACAUGCAAGUCGAGCGGACCGAACAGGAGCUUGCUCUUGUUCGGUUAGCGGCGGACGGGUGAGUAACACGUGGGUAACCUGCCCGUAAGACCGGGAUAACUCCGGGAAACCGGAGCUAAUACCGGAUAACACCGAAGACCGCAUGGUCUUUGGUUGAAAGGCGGCUUCGGCUGCCACUUACGGAUGGGCCCGCGGCGCAUUAGCUAGUUGGUGAGGUAACGGCUCACCAAGGCGACGAUGCGUAGCCGGCCUGAGAGGGUGACCGGCCACACUGGGACUGAGACACGGCCCAGACUCCUACGGGAGGCAGCAGUAGGGAAUCUUCCGCAAUGGACGAAAGUCUGACGGAGCGACGCCGCGUGAGCGAAGAAGGUCUUCGGAUCGUAAAGCUCUGUUGUUAGGGAAGAAGAAGCGUCGUUCGAACAGGGCGGCGCGGUGACGGUACCUAACGAGAAAGCCCCGGCUAACUACGUG